RNAcentral lists this ribosomal RNA (429 nucleotides) under Gemmatimonadota bacterium. Its description in RNAcentral is "Gemmatimonadetes bacterium partial 16S ribosomal RNA". It matches the Rfam family "Bacterial small subunit ribosomal RNA", at positions 355 to 776 of the family's 1533-position model. Lineage: Bacteria; Pseudomonadati; Gemmatimonadota. The record is from RNAcentral.
UAGGGAAUCUUCGGCAAUGGACGAAAGUCUGACCGAGCAACGCCGCGUGAGUGAAGAAGGUUUUCGGAUCGUAAAACUCUGUUGUUAGAGAAGAACAAGGACGUUAGUAACUGAACGUCCCCUGACGGUAUCUAACCAGAAAGCCACGGCUAACUACGUGCCAGCAGCCGCGGUAAUACGUAGGUGGCAAGCGUUGUCCGGAUAUAUUGGGCGUAAAGCGAGCGCAGGCGGUUUCUUAAGUCUGAUGUGAAAGCCCCCGGCUCAACCGGGGAGGGUCAUUUGAAACUGGGAGACUUGAGUGCAGAAGAGGAGAGUGGAAUUCCAUGUGUAGCGGUGAAAUGCGUGGAUAUAUGGAGGAACACCAGUGGCGAAGGCGGCUCUCUGGUCUGUAACUGACGCUGAGGCUCGAAAGCGUGGGGAGCAAACAGG